Molecule: unclassified non-coding RNA, 247 nt
Filed under: uncultured bacterium
Lineage: Bacteria
Description: contains 16S-23S intergenic spacer region
Rfam family: Bacterial small subunit ribosomal RNA
Source: RNAcentral
UACAUGAGGGGCGAGCGUUAUCCGUAAUUAUUGGGCGUAAAGCAUGCGUAGACGGUAAAAGUAGUUGUAAUUUACUAUAACAGUUAAUUGGGUCUUUUACAAAACCUUUUUACUAGAGUUUUUUAAAAGUGUGUGGCAUUUGUAAAUUAGUGAUAAAAUACUGUGAGUUUGCAAGUACCUUCUAUAGUGAAAACACCACACUAUUCAAAACUGACGUUGAGGCAUUAAAGUAUGGUCAUCAUGUAGG